This 376-nucleotide ribosomal RNA is filed under the name uncultured bacterium. RNAcentral describes it as "bacterial SSU rRNA". It matches the Rfam family "Bacterial small subunit ribosomal RNA", at positions 524 to 898 of the family's 1533-position model. The record is from RNAcentral.
UACGAAGGGUGCAAGCGUUGUUCGGAUUUAUUGGGCGUAAAGCGCGCGUAGGCGGACCCGCAAGUCAGAUGUGAAAUCUCAGGGCUCAACCCUGAAACUGCGUCUGAAACUACUGGUCUAGAAUCUUGGAGAGGGAAGGGGAAUUUCGCAUGUAGGGGUAAAAUCCGUAGAUAUGCGAAGGAACACCAGAGGCGAAGGCGCCUUCCUGGACAAGUAUUGACGCUGAGGCGCGAAAGCGUGGGGAUCAAACAGGAUUAGAUACCCUGGUAGUCCACGCUGUAAACGAUGAACACUAGGUAUUGGGGGAUUUGACCCCUUCAGUGCCGCAGCUAACGCGUUAAGUGUUCCGCCUGGGAAGUACGGUCGCAAGACUAAA